Molecule: ribosomal RNA, 497 nt
Filed under: uncultured bacterium
Lineage: Bacteria
Description: partial 16S ribosomal RNA
Rfam family: Bacterial small subunit ribosomal RNA
Source: RNAcentral
GAUGAACGCUGGCGGCGUGCCUAAUACAUGCAAGUCGAGCGAACAGACGAGGAGCUUGCUCCUCUGACGUUAGCGGCGGACGGGUGAGUAACACGUGGAUAACCUACCUAUAAGACUGGGAUAACUUCGGGAAACCGGAGCUAAUACCGGAUAAUAUAUUGAACCGCAUGGUUCAAUAGUGAAAGACGGUUUUGCUGUCACUUAUAGAUGGAUCCGCGCCGCAUUAGCUAGUUGGUAAGGUAACGGCUUACCAAGGCAACGAUGCGUAGACGACCUGAGAGGGUGAUCGGCCACACUGGAACUGGGACGCGGUCCAGACUCCUACGGGAGGCAGCAGUAGGGAAUCUUCCGCAAUGGGCGAAAGCCUGACGGAGCAACGCCGCGUGAGUGAUGAAGGUCUUCGGAUCGUAAAACUCUGUUAUUAGGGAAGAACAAAUGUGUAAGUAGCUAUGCACGUCUUGACGGUACCUAAUCAGAAAGCCACGGCUAACUACGUG